RNAcentral lists this long non-coding RNA (655 nucleotides) under Equus caballus (horse). RNAcentral's name for it is "lncRNA (ENSECAG00000050654.1)". The record is from RNAcentral. Lineage: Eukaryota; Metazoa; Chordata; Mammalia; Perissodactyla; Equidae.
GUGGUUGGAGAGCCAACUGCAGUGUCCCUAAUCGUGGAUGCAGUACCAAUGCAGUGGAUGCAGUGUCCCAAAAUGUGCAUGCAGUUUGUUGUGAUGGAGGAUGCAGUGCUCAUGAAGGUGGAUGCGGUGAACCUGCAGUAGUUGCAGUGUCUGCUACACUUUCCUUUAAUGUGGAUGCAGUGCCCAUGCUGUAGUUGCAGUGUCCCACAAGGUGGAUGUCGUAUGUUGUGAUGGAAGAUGCAGUACCCACGAAGGUGGAUGCAGUGAACCUGUGCUGAGUGCAGUGUGCCUGCAGUGCAACUUCAGCUGUAUGCAGUGUCCCUGCAUGGUUGCAGUGCCGACUGCAUUGUCCGAGAACGUGGAUGCAGUGCCCAGGCAUUGGAUGCAGUGUCCCACAAGGUGGAUGAAGUAUGUUGUGACAGAGGAUGCAGUGUCCAUGAAGAUGGAUGCUGUGAUCCUGCACUAGUUGCAGUGCCCCUUCACGUUCCCCGAAUGUGGAUGCAGUGCCCAUGCAGUGGAUGCAGUGUCCCACAAGGUGGAUGCCUUAUGUUGUAAUGGAGGGUUGAGUGAUCAUGAAGGAGGAUGCAGUGAUCCUGCAGUCAUUGCAGUGCACAUGAAGUGACACAUCAGCUUGCUGCAGUGUUCCUGCAGUGGU